UACGGAGGAUGCAAGCGUUAUCUGGAUUCAUUGGGUUUAAAGGGUGCGUAGGCGGGCUAUUAAGUCAGUGGUGAAAUCCUGCAGCUUAACUGCAGAACUGCCGUUGAUACUGAUAGUCUUGAGUUUGGUUAAGGUAGGCGGAAUGUGUAAUGUAGCGGUGAAAUGCUUAGAUAUUACACAGAACACCAAUUGCGUAGGCAGCUUACUGAGCCGACACUGACGCUGAGGCACGAAAGCGUGGGGAUCAAACAGGA
RNAcentral lists this ribosomal RNA (254 nucleotides) under uncultured prokaryote. RNAcentral describes it as "partial 16S ribosomal RNA". It matches the Rfam family "Bacterial small subunit ribosomal RNA", at positions 524 to 777 of the family's 1533-position model. The record is from RNAcentral.